Molecule: ribosomal RNA, 755 nt
Filed under: uncultured bacterium
Lineage: Bacteria
Description: bacterial SSU rRNA
Rfam family: Bacterial small subunit ribosomal RNA
Source: RNAcentral
AUUGAACGCUGGCGGCAUGCUUUACACAUGCAAGUCGAACGGUAACAGGCCGCAAGGUGCUGACGAGUGGCGAACGGGUGAGUAAUGCAUCGGAACGUGCCCAGUCGUGGGGGAUAACGCAGCGAAAGCUGCGCUAAUACCGCAUACGAUCUAUGGAUGAAAGCGGGGGACCGUAAGGUCUCGCGCGAUUGGAGCGGCCGAUGUCAGAUUAGGUAGUUGGUGGGGUAAAGGCUCACCAAGCCAACGAUCUGUAGCUGGUCUGAGAGGACGACCAGCCACACUGGGACUGAGACACGGCCCAGACUCCUACGGGAGGCAGCAGUGGGGAAUUUUGGACAAUGGGCGCAAGCCUGAUCCAGCAAUGCCGCGUGCAGGAAGAAGGCCUUCGGGUUGUAAACUGCUUUUGUACGGAACGAAAAGGCUCUGGUUAAUACCUGGGGCACAUGACGGUACCGUAAGAAUAAGCACCGGCUAACUACGUGCCAGCAGCCGCGGUAAUACGUAGGGUGCAAGCGUUAAUCGGAAUUACUGGGCGUAAAGCGUGCGCAGGCGGUUUUGUAAGACAGGCGUGAAAUCCCCGGGCUUAACCUGGGAAUUGCGUUUGUGACUGCAAGGCUGGAGUGCGGCAGAGGGGGAUGGAAAUUCCGCGUGUAGCAGUGAAAUGCGUAGAUAUGCGGAGGAACACCGAUGGCGAAGGCAAUCCCCUGGGCCUGCACUGACGCUCAUGCACGAAAGCGUGGGGGAGCAAACAGGAU